UGGGGAAUUUUGCACAAUGGAGGAAACUCUGAUGCAGCGACGCCGCGUGAGUGAUGAAGAUCUUCGGAUUGUAAAACUCUGUCCUUAGUGAAGAUAAUGACAGUAACUAAGAAGCCAGCCCUGGCUAAAUACGUGCCAGCAGCCGCGGUAAUACGUAUGGGGCAAGCGUUGUCCGGAAUUAUUGGGCGUAAAGGGUACGUAGGCGGUUUAAUAAGUCCUAAUUAAAAGGCUAUGGCUCAACCAUAGUAUGGUUAGGAAACUGUUGAACUUGAGUAGAUGAGGGGAAAGUGGAAUUCCAUGUGUAGCGGUGAAAUGCGUAGAUAUAUGGGGGAACACCAAUGGCGAAGGCAACUUUCUGGAAUCAAACUGACGCGGAGGUACGAAGGCGUGGGGAGCAAACAGG
This 403-nucleotide ribosomal RNA is filed under the name Fusobacteriota bacterium. Its description in RNAcentral is "Fusobacteria bacterium partial 16S ribosomal RNA". It matches the Rfam family "Bacterial small subunit ribosomal RNA", at positions 355 to 776 of the family's 1533-position model. The record is from RNAcentral. Lineage: Bacteria; Fusobacteriati; Fusobacteriota.